This 1362-nucleotide ribosomal RNA is filed under the name uncultured bacterium. RNAcentral's name for it is "16S ribosomal RNA". It matches the Rfam family "Bacterial small subunit ribosomal RNA", at positions 28 to 1381 of the family's 1533-position model. The record is from RNAcentral.
GAUGAACGCUAGCGACAGGCUUAACACAUGCAAGUCGAGGGGCAGCAGGGGAGUAGCAAUACUCCCGCUGGUGACCGGCGCACGGGUGAGUAACACGUAUGCAACCUGCCCUUGUCAGGGGGAUAAGCGGAAGAAAUUCCGUCUAAUACCGCAUAAUGCUGCGGGGAGACAUCUCCCUGCAGCCAAAGAUUUAUCGGACAAGGAUGGGCAUGCGGCGCAUUAGCUGGUUGGCGGGGUAACGGCCCACCAAGGCGACGAUGCGUAGGGGUUCUGAGAGGAAGGUCCCCCACACUGGUACUGAGACACGGACCAGACUCCUACGGGAGGCAGCAGUGAGGAAUAUUGGUCAAUGGCCGGGAGGCUGAACCAGCCAAGUCGCGUGAGGGAAGACGGUCCUAUGGAUUGUAAACCUCUUUUGUCAGGGAGCAAAAACUGCCACGCGUGGCAGGAUGAGAGUACCUGAAGAAAAAGCAUCGGCUAACUCCGUGCCAGCAGCCGCGGUAAUACGGAGGAUGCGAGCGUUAUCCGGAUUUAUUGGGUUUAAAGGGUGCGUAGGCGGACAGUUAAGUCAGCGGUAAAAUUGAGAGGCUCAACCUCUUCCCGCCGUUGAAACUGAUUGUCUUGAGUGGGCGAGAAGUAUGCGGAAUGCGUGGUGUAGCGGUGAAAUGCAUAGAUAUCACGCAGAACUCCGAUUGCGAAGGCAGCAUACCGGCGCCCAACUGACGCUGAAGCACGAAAGCGUGGGUAUCGAACAGGAUUAGAUACUCUGGUAGUCCACGCAGUAAACGAUGAAUACUAAUUGUUUGGGUCAAAUGAGAUCUGAGUGAUACAGCGAAAGCGUUAAGUAUUCCACCUGGGGAGUACGCCGGCAACGGUGAAACUCAAAGGAAUUGACGGGGGCCCGCACAAGCGGAGGAACAUGUGGUUUAAUUCGAUGAUACGCGAGGAACCUUACCCGGGCUCAAACGACACAGGAAUGAUCUGAGAAAUCAGGCAGUCCUCCGGGACCUGUGUCGAGGUGCUGCAUGGUUGUCGUCAGCUCGUGCCGUGAGGUGUCGGCUUAAGUGCCAUAACGAGCGCAACCCCCAUCGACAGUUGCCAGCAGGUGAAGCUGGGCACUCUGUCGAGACUGCCGGCGCAAGCUGUGAGGAAGGCGGGGAUGACGUCAAAUCAGCACGGCCCUUACGUCCGGGGCGACACACGUGUUACAAUGGCAGGUACAGCGGGAAGCCACCUGGCGACAGGGAGCGGAACCCGAAAGCCUGUCUCAGUUCGGAUUGGAGUCUGCAACUCGACUCCAUGAAGCUGGAUUCGCUAGUAAUCGCGCAUCAGCCACGGCGCGGUGAAUACGUUCCCGGGCCU